Molecule: unclassified non-coding RNA, 287 nt
Filed under: uncultured fungus
Lineage: Eukaryota; Fungi
Description: partial contains small subunit ribosomal RNA, internal transcribed spacer 1, and 5.8S ribosomal RNA
Rfam family: Eukaryotic small subunit ribosomal RNA (bases 1-73)
Source: RNAcentral
GCAAACUUGGUCAUUUAGAGGAAGUAAAAGUCGUAACAAGGUCUCCGUUGGUGAACCAGCGGAGGGAUCAUUAUCGAGUCUCCGAACUCCCAAACCAUUGUGAACAUACCACUGUUGCUUCGGCGGGAUCGUCCCGGGCGCGCCUCUCGAGGCGUGUUCCGGAGCCAGGCGCCCGCCGAGGGUAUCAAACUCGUGUAUUUGAAGCGGACUUCUGAGCACAAACAAAAAAAUGAAUCAAAACUUUCAGCAACGGAUCUCUUGGCUCUGGCAUCGAUGAAGAACGCAGC